AUCAUCACUUUGCAGCUCACCAUUGAUUUUAUUGGCUGUUUCCUCAGGGCGCUGAAUUAUGGUGGGUUCAGUGUAUCGUUAAUUAAAGCUAGGCUUUGUAUUCGGAGGUCCAAGGCCAACCUGUACAACUCAGAAUUCAACAUCAAGCUCAAAUGUGAAGCCAAUUGAUUUCUUUUUUAACCUUCUGUGAUUUUCAGGUUAUGCCUAGCCCUGUGAUGCUACCUCCAUUGGCGCCUGAGCCUCCUCCUAUACCCACCCCUCCUCCAGUUGUGGAGACUGGCCCAAUUUCAUAUGAGGAGCCGGUUGAGGAAGAGGAGGAGGAAGAGGCAGAGGAGCCCUGUGUCAGUGCCAUGGAGCUUAUGGGAGAGAACGAAUAUGGCUGUGAGGCUGAAGAGGAGGAGGUUUUCUAGUCUGCAGUAUUCUUCCCCCCUCUCUCCAGCGAGUGAUGCUUUUCAUCAGACCCAGAAACCUUGCCUUCCUCCCUGUGGAGACAGGAGAACAGGAGAACAGGAGAAGACGUGUGUGCUAUUGUUGUUGCCAUGAAAUAUUCCUAUAUCCCUGCUUCUUAUGCGCCGGCAGACUUGUUGAGCUCCAGCGCAUCUGCAUCUGGCACAGUGAAGGGACAUUUGGGGUUGAACUCAACACGUGAGCGAGACGUGGCUUUAGAUUGUGUUUCGGACCAUUAGUCUCACGUUAAUCCAGCAGCUGUACGUUCCUGUAGUCACUUUAUGGAAGGGAUGUUUACCAGACCAAGCCCAUGCCUAAGAGGAAACCUAAUAAGCUGUUAAGCAUCCUGUUAUGCCAGUGAUAUAGCUGGACACUAAGCCCAGGCAGAUGUGUUCAUUAGUGAAGUGUACACCUCUGUCUCACUCACACAUUUUUUUUUUUUUUUUGCAAGGGUUGUUAUCUCUCUGGAUGAAUUGUUCUGCGUCCACAUUUGUUUUUAAGGUCAUUCGCACUCAACCUGUUUUUGUUCUUGAAUUUUAUGACAGCCGUUUCUGAUGUUCCAGAAGCACAAGUAGGCUCUUAACCAAUGUGUUUGUAAUAGAUGUUUUACUGAAAAAAAAAAUGUGAAUAGAUGUUUUAUUUGUGUGCUCUUGUAGUGUUUUAUCUUUUUUAAUGUUUUAAUGUUUUGAUGUUUUAGCUUUUUUUGUUUUUUACUCACAUGGCAGCAUAAGAAAAUGAAUAUGUAUAUAAAUGUAAAUCUGUGUUAUAUAACCAUUUUAUGUGUCACUUGCCGCAUUCCAUUGAAGGUAAUAAUAUUUAAAUGAUAUACACUAUGUUGGUAUAUUGUACAGUACCAUUGUGGUUUAGAUUUGUAUCUGUUGCAGCUGUUGAUGUUUAAUUUUCAGAGAAAUUUUAGUGACUCAGAAAGGAACUGCUGCUAGCCAUUCCUAUUGUUAUUAAAAUGAAAUUUUGUUUAAGAAGAAAAGAGUUAUGUAUUCAAUAUAACCACAGUGCUUAAUGUAGUGUUUAUUUAGCCAGUGGGUGAUACAGUUUGUGUCCAAGCUACAGUUAGCGUUUAUUCAUUUGUAUGAAUUUA
This 1543-nucleotide long non-coding RNA is filed under the name Astyanax mexicanus (Mexican tetra). RNAcentral describes it as "lncRNA (ENSAMXG00005024830.1)". The record is from RNAcentral. Lineage: Eukaryota; Metazoa; Chordata; Actinopteri; Characiformes; Acestrorhamphidae.